AAUAAAAUGAAUAUCACAAUUUAAAAAAAAAAAAAGAAUUAAUGUGAAUUGCAGGACACGUUGAUCGUGGACACUUCCAACGCACUUGUGGCCCAGGUUCCUCCCGGGGCUACGUCUGUCUGAGCGUCG
This 129-nucleotide ribosomal RNA is filed under the name Dasypus novemcinctus (nine-banded armadillo). RNAcentral's name for it is "5.8S ribosomal RNA (ENSDNOG00000029756.1)". The stretch from base 23 to 129 matches the Rfam family "5.8S ribosomal RNA", at positions 39 to 154 of the family's 154-position model. Rfam says of the family: 5.8S ribosomal RNA (5.8S rRNA) is a component of the large subunit of the eukaryotic ribosome. It is transcribed by RNA polymerase I as part of the 45S precursor that also contains 18S and 28S rRNA. The record is from RNAcentral. Lineage: Eukaryota; Metazoa; Chordata; Mammalia; Cingulata; Dasypodidae.